CAGCAGCCGCGGGAAUACGUAGGUCCCGAGCGUUGUCCGGAUUUAUGGGGCGUAAAGGGAGCGCAGGCGGUUUAGUAAGUCUGAAGUUAAAGGCAUUGGCUCAACCAAUGUAUGCUUUGGAAACUGUUAGACUUGAGUGCAGAAGGGGAGAGUGGAAUUCCAUGUGUAGCGGUGAAAUGCGUAGAUAUAUGGAGGAACACCGGUGGCGAAAGCGGCUCUCUGGUCUGUCACUGACGCUGAGGAGCGAAAGCGUGGGGAGCGAACAGGAUUAGAUACCCCCGUAGUCCCUGUCUCUUAUACA
RNAcentral lists this ribosomal RNA (301 nucleotides) under uncultured bacterium. Its description in RNAcentral is "partial 16S ribosomal RNA". It matches the Rfam family "Bacterial small subunit ribosomal RNA", at positions 509 to 808 of the family's 1533-position model. The record is from RNAcentral.